AGAGUUUGAUCAUGGCUCAGAUUGAACGCUGGCGGCAGGCUUAACACAUGCAAGUCGAGCGGGGGAAGGUAGCUUGCUACCGGACCUAGCGGCGGACGGGUGAGUAAUGCUUAGGAAUCUGCCUAUUAGUGGGGGACAACAUCUCGAAAGGGAUGCUAAUACCGCAUACGUCCUACGGGAGAAAGCAGGGGAUCUUCGGACCUUGCGCUAAUAGAUGAGCCUAAGUCGGAUUAGCUAGUUGGUGGGGUAAAGGCCUACCAAGGCGACGAUCUGUAGCGGGUCUGAGAGGAUGAUCCGCCACACUGGGACUGAGACACGGCCCAGACUCCUACGGGAGGCAGCAGUGGGGAAUAUUGGACAAUGGGGGGAACCCUGAUCCAGCCAUGCCGCGUGUGUGAAGAAGGCCUUAUGGUUGUAAAGCACUUUAAGCGAGGAGGAGGCUACUUUAGUUAAUACCUAGAGAUAGUGGACGUUACUCGCAGAAUAAGCACCGGCUAACUCUGUGCCAGCAGCCGCGGUAAUACAGAGGGUGCGAGCGUUAAUCGGAUUUACUGGGCGUAAAGCGUGCGUAGGCGGCUUAUUAAGUCGGAUGUGAAAUCCCCGAGCUUAACUUGGGAAUUGCAUUCGAUACUGGUGAGCUAGAGUAUGGGAGAGGAUGGUAGAAUUCCAGGUGUAGCGGUGAAAUGCGUAGAGAUCUGGAGGAAUACCGAUGGCGAAGGCAGCCAUCUGGCCUAAUACUGACGCUGAGGUACGAAAGCAUGGGGAGCAAACAGGAUUAGAUACCCUGGUAGUCCAUGCCGUAAACGAUGUCUACUAGCCGUUGGGGCCUUUGAGGCUUUAGUGGCGCAGCUAACGCGAUAAGUAGACCGCCUGGGGAGUACGGUCGCAAGACUAAAACUCAAAUGAAUUGACGGGGGCCCGCACAAGCGGUGGAGCAUGUGGUUUAAUUCGAUGCAACGCGAAGAACCUUACCUGGCCUUGACAUACUAGAAACUUUCCAGAGAUGGAUUGGUGCCUUCGGGAAUCUAG
This 1029-nucleotide ribosomal RNA is filed under the name Acinetobacter baumannii 984213. RNAcentral's name for it is "bacterial SSU rRNA". It matches the Rfam family "Bacterial small subunit ribosomal RNA", at positions 8 to 1031 of the family's 1533-position model. The record is from RNAcentral. Lineage: Bacteria; Pseudomonadati; Pseudomonadota; Gammaproteobacteria; Moraxellales; Moraxellaceae.